GGGUGAUUAGCUCAGUGGUAGAGCGCUGCCUUCACACGGCAGAGGCCAUAGGUUCGAUCCCUAUAUCACCCA
RNAcentral lists this transfer RNA (72 nucleotides) under Candidatus Colwellbacteria bacterium CG10_big_fil_rev_8_21_14_0_10_42_22. Its description in RNAcentral is "tRNA-Val". It matches the Rfam family "tRNA". Rfam says of the family: Transfer RNA (tRNA) molecules are approximately 80 nucleotides in length. Their secondary structure includes four short double-helical elements and three loops (D, anti-codon, and T loops). RNAcentral also lists the same sequence under 1 other name. The record is from RNAcentral. Lineage: Bacteria; Candidatus Colwelliibacteriota.